GAGGUUGAUAGGUUCGAGGUGGAAGCGUGGUGACACGUGGAGCUGACGGAUACUAAUCGAUCGAGGACUUAACUAACUU
Molecule: ribosomal RNA, 79 nt
Filed under: Agaribacter marinus
Lineage: Bacteria; Pseudomonadati; Pseudomonadota; Gammaproteobacteria; Alteromonadales; Alteromonadaceae
Description: partial 23S ribosomal RNA
Source: RNAcentral